GACAGAGGGUGCAAACGUUGUUCGGAAUUACUGGGCGUAAAGCGCGUGUAGGCGGCUCGGCAAGUCGGAUGUGAAAGCCCUGGGCUCAACCUAGGAAGUGCAUUCGAAACUGCAGAGCUUGAGUUCUGGAGAGGAAGGCGGAAUUCUCGGUGUAGAGGUGAAAUUCGUAGAUAUCGGAAGGAACACCAGCGGCGAAGGCGGCCAUCUGGACGGUGACUGACGCUCAGACGCGAAAGCGCGGGGAGCAAACAGG
This 253-nucleotide ribosomal RNA is filed under the name uncultured bacterium. RNAcentral's name for it is "partial 16S ribosomal RNA". It matches the Rfam family "Bacterial small subunit ribosomal RNA", at positions 524 to 776 of the family's 1533-position model. The record is from RNAcentral.